UAAUAUUAUCUAACGUCUAUAGGAUACACAGCUGCUACUGGGAAUAAAUUAUUUGGAUCAUUCAAGACGUCUUUAGGAUACACAUCUGCUACCUGGAAUAAUUGAUUUGGAUCAUCCAACAUUAGAUGAGAAAUCCGAGGUUCAAACCGAGACCGCGUCUUCUUUACGAAGCCUGUCCCCAUCACGCUAUUUUUGACUGGACAGCCCCCCACAAAAAGGAUACCUGAAGCAUUAUGGACACUAACUAUGAAUGACUUCGACUCCUCCCGGCGUAUACCGGCACAGAAGGCCCUACACAUCAAGAGGGGGUUUUCGAGGUGGAAUUUGGCGCCCAGGACAUACCCAGUAAAACACUGAAACCGGAUGAUUUCAAAGGCAGACGAUUUGUUGCUGAAUGAAGCGACCAGAGAGCUUGAUACAGCCAAU
Long non-coding RNA from Oncorhynchus masou masou (cherry salmon), 426 nucleotides. RefSeq lists it as uncharacterized. The transcript is spliced from 3 exons. NCBI's taxonomy places the organism in Eukaryota, Metazoa, Chordata, Actinopteri, Salmoniformes, Salmonidae. The record is from RefSeq and is a predicted model, not a curated record.